CUUCAUCUUCUUCCUCUUUUUUUCCUUCUUGGAUUGGAUUGUCCUUUAAAACAAACUUAAAAUUAUCUAUGUCCUUAUGUUGGCCAUCAUAUAGGAGAAAAUCUGGAGCAUCCAACUCUGCAUCUAUGAAGGACUGAUGAACUCCAGAUGUUUCAUCCUCUUGAAAGCAUUCUGGUAAAUGGGGCUCUUUUUCUUCUUC
This 199-nucleotide long non-coding RNA is filed under the name Elaeis guineensis (African oil palm). Its description in RNAcentral is "long non-coding RNA (EGUI_LNC054384)". Lineage: Eukaryota; Viridiplantae; Streptophyta; Magnoliopsida; Arecales; Arecaceae. The record is from RNAcentral.